CCUACGGGUGGCAGCAGUGGGGAAUAUUGGGCAAUGGAGGCAACUCUGACCCAGCAACGCCGCGUGAAUGAUGAAGGUCUUCGGGUUGUAAACUGCUUUUAUAAGCGAGAAAUAUGAUGGUAACUUAUGAAUAAGGAUCGGCUAACUACGUGCCAGCAGCCGCGGUCAUACGUAGGAUCCGAGCAUUAUCCGGAGUGACUGGGUGUAAAGAGUUGCGUAGGUGGCAUAAUAAGUAGCUAGUGAAAUCUGGUGGCUCAACCAUUCAGACUAUUAGCUAAACUGUUAAGCUCGAGACCGUUAGGGGUAACUGGAAUUUCUAGUGUAGGAGUGAAAUCCGUAGAUAUUAGAAGGAACACCAAUAGCGUAGGCAGGUUGCUGGGACGGUUCUGACACUAAGGCACGAAAGCGUAGGGAGCAAACGGGAUUAGAUACCCUGGUAGUC
This 442-nucleotide ribosomal RNA is filed under the name uncultured bacterium. RNAcentral's name for it is "partial 16S ribosomal RNA". It matches the Rfam family "Bacterial small subunit ribosomal RNA", at positions 338 to 795 of the family's 1533-position model. The record is from RNAcentral.